This 393-nucleotide ribosomal RNA is filed under the name uncultured bacterium. Its description in RNAcentral is "partial 16S ribosomal RNA". It matches the Rfam family "Bacterial small subunit ribosomal RNA", at positions 523 to 918 of the family's 1533-position model. The record is from RNAcentral.
AUACGGAGGAUCCGAGCGUUAUCCGGAUUUAUUGGGUUUAAAGGGAGCGCAGGCGGAGAUGCAAGCGUGACGUCAAAUUUCGGGGCUCAACCCCGUCUCGCGUCGCGAACUGCGUCCCUUGGUUGCGGGAAGGGGAGGCGGAACUCGUGGUGUAGCGGUGAAAUGCAUAGAUAUCACGAAGAACUCCGAUCGCGAAGGCAGCCUUCCGGCCCGUCAACGACGCUCAUGCUCGAAGGUGCGGGUAUCAAACAGGAUUAGAUACCCUGGUAGUCCGCACAGUAAAUGAUGGACACCCGCGGUUUGGCCUAUAUGGCUGAGCCGCCAAGCGAAAGCGUUAAGUGUCCCACCUGGGGAGUACGCCGGCAACGGUGAAACUCAAAGGAAUUGACGGGG